RNAcentral lists this ribosomal RNA (170 nucleotides) under Ilyonectria sp. RNAcentral's name for it is "partial small subunit ribosomal RNA". Lineage: Eukaryota; Fungi; Ascomycota; Sordariomycetes; Hypocreales; Nectriaceae. The record is from RNAcentral.
ACUUUCCAGCCCAGGCCAGCAUCAGUUCGCUGUGGGGGAUAAAGGCUUUGGGAAUGUGGCUCCUCCGGGAGUGUUAUAGCCCAUUGUGUAAUACCCUGUGGUGGACUGAGGUUCGCGCAUCUGCAAGGAUGCUGGCGUAAUGGUCAUCAGCGACCCGUCUUGAAACACGG